This is a small nuclear RNA of Gopherus agassizii (Agassiz's desert tortoise), 181 nucleotides long. Its record names the gene U2. It matches the Rfam family "U2 spliceosomal RNA". Rfam says of the family: U2 is a small nuclear RNA (snRNA) component of the spliceosome (involved in pre-mRNA splicing). Complementary binding between U2 snRNA (in an area lying towards the 5' end but 3' to hairpin I) and the branchpoint sequence (BPS) of the intron results the bulging out of an unpaired adenosine, on the BPS, which initiates a nucleophilic attack at the intronic 5' splice site, thus starting the first of two transesterification reactions that mediate splicing. Lineage: Eukaryota; Metazoa; Chordata; Testudines; Testudinidae. The record is from Ensembl.
UUAAUUUUAAACAUUAACUGUAAUCAAUUUUUUAAAUCUGUUCUUGUCAGUUUAAUCGCUGACCUGUCCUUUCUGUGAGGACUGUGUCAUGAAUUGAUUUUGGAAACAGGGGGAUGGGUUGCUCCAUCCGCCUCGUGCAUAGAUCUGGUAUUGCAGUGCCGCCGGGAAUGGUGCGUCUCCU